AUUCCAGCUCCAAUAGCGUAUAUUAAAGUUGUUGCGGUUAAAAAGCUCGUAGUUGGAUUUCUGUUUAGGAAGUCCGGUCCGCACUUUGUGCGUGAUCUGGUUCUGCCUCGGCAUCCUCGCGGGGAACGCGCUGCGCUUGAUUGCGUGGUGCGGUAUUCGCGACUUUUACUUUGAGGAAAUUAGAGUGUUCACGGCAGGCUAUCGCCUUGAACACGUUAGCAUGGAAUAAUAAUAUAGGACCUUGGUUCUAUUUUGUUGGUUUCUAGAACUAAGGUAAUGAUUAAUAGGGAUAAUUGGGGGCAUUUGUAUUAACACGUCAGAGGUGAAAUUCUUGGAUUGUGUUACGACAAACUACUGCGAAAGCAUUUGCCAAGGAUGUUUUCAUUG
Molecule: ribosomal RNA, 387 nt
Filed under: Syndiniales sp.
Lineage: Eukaryota; Dinophyceae; Syndiniales
Description: partial small subunit ribosomal RNA
Rfam family: Eukaryotic small subunit ribosomal RNA
Source: RNAcentral